AGUCGAACGGCAGCACAGAGGAGCUUGCUCCUUGGGUGGCGAGUGGCGGACGGGUGAGGAAUACGUCGGAAUCUGCCUAUUUGUGGGGGAUAACGUAGGGAAACUUACGCUAAUACCGCAUACGACCUACGGGUGAAAGUGGGGGACCGCAAGGCCUCACGCAGAUAGAUGAGCCGACGUCGGAUUAGCUAGUUGGCGGGGUAAAGGCCCACCAAGGCGACGAUCCGUAGCUGGUCUGAGAGGAUGAUCAGCCACACUGGAACUGAGACACGGUCCAGACUCCUACGGGAGGCAGCAGUGGGGAAUAUUGGACAAUGGGCGCAAGCCUGAUCCAGCCAUGCCGCGUGUGUGAAGAAGGCCUUCGGGUUGUAAAGCACUUUUGUCCGGAAAGAAAAGCUUAGGGUUAAUAACCUUGAGUCAUGACGGUACCGGAAGAAUAAGCACCGGCUAACUUCGUGCCAGCAGCCGCGGUAAUACGAAGGGUGCAAGCGUUACUCGGAAUUACUGGGCGUAAAGCGUGCGUAGGUGGUUUGUUAAGUCUGAUGUGAAAGCCCUGGGCUCAACCUGGGAAUGGCAUUGGAAACUGGCUUACUAGAGUGCGGUAGAGGGUAGCGGAAUUCCCGGUGUAGCAGUGAAAUGCGUAGAUAUCGGGAGGAACAUCCGUGGCGAAGGCGGCUACCUGGACCAGCACUGACACUGAG
RNAcentral lists this ribosomal RNA (701 nucleotides) under Lysobacter sp. RNAcentral's name for it is "bacterial SSU rRNA". It matches the Rfam family "Bacterial small subunit ribosomal RNA", at positions 60 to 750 of the family's 1533-position model. The record is from RNAcentral. Lineage: Bacteria; Pseudomonadati; Pseudomonadota; Gammaproteobacteria; Lysobacterales; Lysobacteraceae.